GCCCAGCGCCGAAUCGAUCAGCCUAUGGUUGCUUCGAAAUGUGGCGUAUAGGUGUAGUCUUCCAGCAGUGUCGUGAGUCCGAAGUCCUUACGAUUGAGGCCAUAGACCAGAGAGGGUGCGAGUCCCGUCCUGGAUUGCGAUGCUGUUGGUUCGAUUGCUCCUUGGAGUCGGGUUGCUUGAAAGUGCAGCCUAAAGUGGGUGAUAAACUUCAUCUAAGGCUAAAUAUUGACUCGAUUGCGAUAGCGAACAAGUACCGUGAGGGAAAGUUGCAAAGGACUUUGAAGAGAGAGUUCAAGAGAACGUGAAAUCGCUGGAGUGGAACCGGAGACAGUUGAUGUUGCUUGGAGACAAGUUUGGUGGCUGGUCGCUUAGUUGUGAUCGUCGCCGGAUGUCGUUUCCUAUGCUACGCCGACGGCGUUGGUCGCUCGUUCUGGCCCGAUAGUGUUGCCCAGCUCGCAAGAGUCGGUGUCUUGUUAUCGGUCGUUGGUUCGUGGUGGCUAGCGUUUAGUUACGCUAGUGUGUGUGACGUCGGUGUGAAAGUCGACGACGUUUCCGACCCGUCUUGAAACACGGAUUGCGGAGUGCUUGUCUACUGCGAGUCAAAGGGUGUUAAAACCUUGCGGCGAAAUGAAAGUGAAGGUCAGUCUUGAAUUGGCCGACGUGGGAUCGGUGCUCCUCGGAGUGCUGCGCACCACGGCCCUGUGCGUGUCACUUGUGACUGUGCAGAGGUUGAGCAGUUGGCAAACGACCCGAAAGAUGGUGAACUAUGCCUGAGCAGGAUGAAGCCAGAGGAAACUCUGGUGGAAGUCCGUAUCGGUUCUGACGUGCAAAUCGAU
RNAcentral lists this ribosomal RNA (836 nucleotides) under Caenorhabditis briggsae. RNAcentral describes it as "LSU rRNA". It matches the Rfam family "Eukaryotic large subunit ribosomal RNA", at positions 107 to 902 of the family's 3401-position model. Lineage: Eukaryota; Metazoa; Nematoda; Chromadorea; Rhabditida; Rhabditidae. The record is from RNAcentral.